CCCCCUGUGCUACAGCUGAUGGAUGGGCGCUGACCCUCUGCCAGCCUGGGGUCCCUGCCCGCGUGUGGGCCCCAGGGAGGAAUUUCAGGGGCGCUCAGACCUGGAAGCUGGGCACAGAGUGGGCAUGGGGAGAGCUGGGGCACGUGAGGGGGAGACUGGGCAGGGACUUGGGAGAUGGGGGCUCAGUUCCUGGCUCUGCCUUGUCCUUCCCGUGUGACCAGCUGCGUGGUGGGGGGCGUCUGGCCGUCGGGGGCUGUGGCGAUGCCGGCUGGGUGAAUACGGGUGCGUUCGGCCACAGGGGAAAAUGGCUGGUAGAGCUGGGAAGGGAACCCAGGAGUCCCUGACGCGGUUGUCGAGCUGGAGCCGGUCCUGGUGGACGGGGCAAAGCAGGGUCUGCGUUAUGCCUGGGGCAUGGAGCUAUGGUUCGCUCCUCCCUGGAGCAGGGUGCAAAUGAUGGUUCCCCCCCGCUUUGUGCCAGGCUGCGGAGACCCCAGCCCGGGCCCCCAUGGGAAACGCAGCAGUGUCCCGAGCCGGGACGUGGGGCAGGGGCCAGCUCCCGGCACUGCACGGCCCCCUCUCGCUUUGGGAGUCUUCGGUAUUCGUCGUAUUGCGGUAUCGCCUGGCGGGCCCUGGCCCCAGACGUCGGGAUCCUGCGUCCCCUAGGCCCCAGCCACGCAGGGAACGGUUCCCACGGUCCAGCCCCAAACCUCGUCUGGGGGCAGCUCGGGGCGCUGGGCUUGUGUGGGCAGUAAACCCGGCCGGGGCGACCCAGCACCGCAGCGCUGAGCCUGCACCGGGACAGGGCCUCGGCUGGGGGCGGGGUGUGUGUGUGUGUGUGUGUGUGUGUGUGUCAGUAACUCUCCCAUCGGGAGCCCACACCAGUGAUUCCAAGGGCCAGGUGAGAAGGGGCAGCUACAGGUCUGGGGCCCCCCUCUCACUGGGCCCCCCAGCUCUCCAGUGCCCCUCAAUCCUGACCCGCAGCCCCCUGCUAGCCCAGCCCUGGGCCCCCCCAGCUCUCCGGUGCCCCUCACUCCCGACCCGCAGCCCCUGCCAGCUGAGCCAAGACCGGGAGCUCUGGCUGGCCCCACGCGGUUCCUCUUCCCGGAGCAGUGGCUGUAGCUGCUGGCGGGGCCAGCACCUGUUGCUAGAGAAGAAUGGGGCGCUGGGCGGGGGGAGGGGCGGGGGGCGCGUUCCUGGUGGUAACUGGAGCUGGGGACAGGUGGAAUUUCAUUUUGCGGGGGCAGGGUCUGUGCUAGUGGGUGGGGUGCCUUGGCACCGUGCCAGGCUGGCUCUGGGCCUGCUAGGGGAGCAGCCCCCACGUCCCAGUUGCUGCUGGCACGUCCCCCCCGCCCCUCCAGCAGGCGAUGCUCCAGGGUGCCGGCGGCUGGGGUCCGGCCUGGGGCAGGAUUUCCCCCCCUCUCUUUGGGCAGGGGUUGGCGGGUGUCUCUGUGCCAGCUGCCGGUUGACUGCUGGGGUGGGGGCCUCGUGACCAGGUUGGAUUGAACGGGCGGGGGCGGCUGGCUCCCUGCCCUGGCAAUGCCAUAGGGGGUUCGUUGGGGCCGCUGCCCGGGGCCUGUUUGAGGUGAUUCAUCCCUGUCGGAUGUGACAAAUGGGCGGGUGACUCAGAGCCUGGAGGCUGCUCGGGGUGCUGUCCCCCCGCCCCCCCCCCCACCGCCGCCCCAGCCCAGCGUGAGGCUCCGGGGGCCACAGACCCCGGGACUGGAGGGGUCUCAGCUGCUGUGGUUUGCCCGGUCGGCUGGUGCCCCUCAGUCCCGACCUGCAGCCCCCUGUUCUGCCCCUGGCUGGGUGGCACCUCCCCGUGCGUGUGAGGCUGGCACAGCCGAGCGCAGGGAGGAAGCCGCAGGCUGUGACCGCACCUCAGAUUGUCGGGGCGCUUCCUGCCUUGCUGCCACCCCAUCCCGGGCGGGGGGGAGGGCUGCCAUGGCAACGGAGCCAUAAACAGCUGGGGGGGGGGUUGUGGGCUAAGUGCCUCCUUUCCCAGCCUGCACCGGGGUGUCCAGCCCCACUGCCCGCGAGCCGCCCGGGCUCUGCCCUGGCCGGGAACCGAGAGCGGCGAAGGGGAAGCUGCGGUCGCAGGCGUGACGGGAAGUGUGCGGUCAGAAGAACCUCCAGGAUUCGCAGCUGCCGUCCCAGCCGCCGGGCGCUGGCCUAGCUCGGUGCCCCCCCCGGCUACCCCCCAUGCAGGCCCGCCCUGUCACAUGGGGCUGCCUUCCUGCCGUGUGGGGCAUGUGUCACAUCCGGGGGCGACGGACCCGUCUGCCAGCCUGCGUCUGCGCUGGGGCACCCCGGGAAGCUACAGCGCCGACGCAGGCCAGGAGCCGCCGAGAGGACGCUGCUCGCCUGCCCGCCGGUGCCAGGACCUGCCUGCAGCCACAGAGGCCCCGCGGAAGGGGUGGAGAGGCUGCCCUGGCACCUGGGCCCCGGUGGGCGCUGGCCUAGCCCCGCAGAGCGCCACGUCCCGGGGAGGCAGCAAGGCCCUGUUCCCCGGGGCGGCCCCAUGGAGCUGCCCGUGGCGCUGUGACCUGCCCACAUGUGACUCUCCCAGGACUGUGCAUCCGU
Non-coding RNA from Chrysemys picta bellii (western painted turtle), 2580 nucleotides. The record is from RefSeq and is a predicted model, not a curated record. NCBI's taxonomy places the organism in Eukaryota, Metazoa, Chordata, Testudines, Emydidae.